RNAcentral lists this transfer RNA (65 nucleotides) under Conus ventricosus. RNAcentral's name for it is "tRNA-Phe". It matches the Rfam family "tRNA". From Rfam's summary of the family: Transfer RNA (tRNA) molecules are approximately 80 nucleotides in length. Their secondary structure includes four short double-helical elements and three loops (D, anti-codon, and T loops). Lineage: Eukaryota; Metazoa; Mollusca; Gastropoda; Neogastropoda; Conidae. The record is from RNAcentral.
AUCUUGAUAGCUUAAAUAAGAGCAUAGCACUGAAGAUGCUAAGGUAACAGUUUUGUUUCAAGGUG